Molecule: long non-coding RNA, 731 nt
Filed under: Arabidopsis lyrata
Lineage: Eukaryota; Viridiplantae; Streptophyta; Magnoliopsida; Brassicales; Brassicaceae
Description: long non-coding RNA (ALYR_LNC002315)
Source: RNAcentral
AGAAAAAGAUAUUGGCAGUUUGAGAUGUAAUGUUGGACAUCAAUCUAAUCUAAGCUGAGCUAAGUGCCAAAUGAACAUAUUUAGGAGUCAUUCAUGCAUAUGAAAUUUUAGAAGGGUCAAGUAAAGUAAACAAAUGAAGAAUCCACUACAUAAUCUUUGAUAAUUUUUAUUUAAACCAAAAAACUCAAAUUGAAAUUCCGAUUACAAUAUCCACUUCGUUCUGUAUUCAAAAAUAUUAUUCAGAGUUUGUAUUCAAAAAUAUCUUUUGUCGAUAUUUUUUAUUUUAUAAUAUUGGAUAUUAGCAAACAUAGAUUAACAAUGAUUAAAGUUACCAUGUUGUUCACGUACGUAGUUGAUGUCAUGGGUCUGAAAUGCAUCCAAAACAACACAUGAUUCGCCUUUAUCGCCAAUAGCAAAUUUCUCAAGCUCGUCACAAAAUCCUAAUUUUCUCAAAUUUUUGACGUUCUCAGCAAUCCAUGGUAUAGGGUACGAUUCAAAUUCCCCCAAAAAAGCCCAUUCUGGCAGGUAUGAAGAAGUCAGACGUACUAGCCUAAUUAAAGUAAAAGAUUUAAUACUUGAAUUAACUAAUUUUCUGAAACAAAUUAUUGCAAAAUCUAAAAUGAAUAUACCCCUUUGAUCAAAGUAGGAUGAAGAUAAUAUAUUUUUAUGUUGUCCUUUUAAAUCAUAACCUGAAAAUAAAACACAAACAUUAAGAAAUAUGAAUGAAAAUA